RNAcentral lists this small RNA (538 nucleotides) under Pongo abelii (Sumatran orangutan). Its description in RNAcentral is "retained intron". The record is from RNAcentral. Lineage: Eukaryota; Metazoa; Chordata; Mammalia; Primates; Hominidae.
UGAGCAUCUGGUGGCUCCCCCAGCACCUGGCUUAUGCCCCCUCAGGUACCUGGAAGCUGUGAGGAGGCUGAAGGUGGAGGGCCACCGGUUCCCCAGAACCAUCCACAUGACCUUUGUACCUGAUGAGGAGGUUGGUGGUCACCAAGGCAUGGAGCUGUUCGUGCAGCGGCCUGAGUUCCAUGCCCUGAGGGCAGGCUUUGCCCUGGAUGAGGGCAUAGCCAAUCCCACUGAUGCCUUCACUGUCUUUUAUAGUGAGCGGAGUCCCUGGUGGGUGCGGGUCACCAGCACUGGGAGGCCAGGCCAUGCCUCACGCUUCAUGGAGGACACAGCAGCAGAGAAGCUGCACAAGGUUGUGAGCUCCAUCCUGGCAUUCCGGGAGAAGGAAUGGCAGAGGCUGCAGUCAAACCCCCACCUGAAAGAGGGGUCCGUGACCUCCGUGAACCUGACUAAGCUAGAGGGUGGCGUGGCCUAUAACGUGAUACCUGCCACCAUGAGCGCCAGCUUUGACUUCCGUGUGGCACCGGAUAUGGACUUCAAG